RNAcentral lists this unclassified non-coding RNA (300 nucleotides) under uncultured Exophiala. Its description in RNAcentral is "sequence contains 5.8S rRNA gene, ITS2". The stretch from base 1 to 71 matches the Rfam family "5.8S ribosomal RNA", at positions 84 to 154 of the family's 154-position model. The record is from RNAcentral. Lineage: Eukaryota; Fungi; Ascomycota; Eurotiomycetes; Chaetothyriales; Herpotrichiellaceae.
GUGAAUCAUCGAAUCUUUGAACGCACAUUGCGCCCUUUGGUAUUCCGAAGGGCAUGCCUGUUCGAGCGUCAUUAUCACCCCUCGAGCCCCCUGUGGCUUGGCUUUGGACGGUCUGGUUAGGCGACUGACCCCUCCUAAAGACAAUGACGGCGGCCUCGCAGGACCCCCGGUACACUGAGCUUCUUAACUGAGCACGUAUCGGAAUGAGGGUUCUCGGGACACGGUCUCCUUUUCCCCCCUCCCUCCCGGGGGCGGUGGGAAAAAAAUAUCUUUCUAAGGUUGACCUCGGAUCAGGUAGGG